This is a long non-coding RNA of Oncorhynchus keta (chum salmon), 1596 nucleotides long. RefSeq lists it as uncharacterized. NCBI's taxonomy places the organism in Eukaryota, Metazoa, Chordata, Actinopteri, Salmoniformes, Salmonidae. The record is from RefSeq and is a predicted model, not a curated record. The transcript has 6 exons.
GAGUCCAUGUGAUGAGUCCAUGUGAACAGUAAGAGGUGAUGAGUCCAUGUGAACAGUAAGAGGUGAUGAGUCCAUGUGAACAGUAAGAGGUGAUGAGUCCAUGUGAACAGUAAGAGGUGAUGAGUCCAUGUGAUGAGUCCAUGUGAACAGUAAGAGGUGAUGAGUCCAUGUGAACAGUAAGAGGUGAUGAGUCCAUGUGAACAGUAAGAGGUGAUGAGUCCAUGUGAACAGUAAGAGGUGAUGAGUCCAUGUGAACAGUAAGAGGUGAUGAGUCCAUGUGAACAGUAAGAGGUGAUGAGUCCAUGUGAUGAGUCCAUGUGAACAGUAAGAGGUGAUGAGUCCAUGUGAACAGUAAGAGGUGAUGAGUCCAUGUGAUGAGUCCAUGUGAACAGUGUAAGAGGUGAUGAGUCCAUGUGAACAGUAAGAGGUGAUGAGUCCAUGUGAUGAGUCCAUGUGAACAGUAAGAGGUGAUGAGUCCAUGUGAUGAGUCCAUGUGAACAGUGAGAGGUGAUGAGUCCAUGUGAACAGUAAGAGGUGAUGAGUCCAUGUGAACAGUAAGAGGUGAUGAGUCCAUGUGAACAGUAAGAGGUGAUGAGUCCAUGUGAACAGUAUAAGAGGUGAUGAGUCCAUGUGAACAGUAAGAGGUGAUGAGUCCAUGUGAACAGUAAGAGGUGAUGAGUCCAUGUGAACAGUAAGAGGUGAUGAGUCCAUGUGAACAGUAAGAGGUGAUGAGUCCAUGUGAACAGUAAGAGGUGAUGAGUCCAUGUGAACAGUAAGAGGUGAUGAGUCCAUGUGAACAGCAAUCUACUACCAGCCUCUUAAAUUGCAGCCCAAAUGAAUGCUUCAGAAUUCAAGUAAUAGACACAUCUCAGCAUCAUCUGUUCAGAGGAGACUGCGUGAAUCAGGCCUUCAUGGUCGAAUUGCUGCAAAGAAACACCAAAAAGAGACUUUCUUGGGCCAUGGAGCAAUGGACAUUAGACCAGUGGAAAUCUGUCCUUUGCUGCUGAUGUCCAAAUUUGAAAUGUGUGGUUCCGACCACUCUCUUUGUGAGGCGUAGAGUAGGUGAACGGAUGAUCUCCACAUGUGUGGUUCCCACCGUGAAGCAUGGAGGAGGAGGUGUGGGCUAAGACUGUUGUAAAAGCAUUCCAGGUGACGCUGUAGAAAAUAGUACAAAUAAAGAAAAACCCUUGAAUGAGUAGGUGUUCUAAAAACUUUGGACUGGUUAUGUAAAAUACACACACACACACACACAUAUACACAUGCAUAUAUUAUAUAUACACGGUUGACGUUUACAUACAUUUUGGUCGGAGUCAUUUAAACUAGUUUUUCAACCACUCCACAAAUGUCUUGUUAACAAACUAUAGUCAUGGCAAGUUGGUUGUGGUUGUGCAUGACACAAGUCAUUUUUCACAGAGAGAUUAUUUCACUUAUAAUUCACUGUAUCACAAUUCCAGUGCGUCAGAAGUUUACAUACACUAAGUUGACUGUGCCUUUAAACAGCUUGGAAAAUUCCAGAAAAUUAUGUCAUGGCUUUAGAGGCUUCUGAUAGGCUAAUUGACAUCAUUUGCUUGACAUCAUGGGAAAAUCUAAAGAAAU